RNAcentral lists this ribosomal RNA (442 nucleotides) under uncultured Streptococcus sp. Its description in RNAcentral is "bacterial SSU rRNA". It matches the Rfam family "Bacterial small subunit ribosomal RNA", at positions 939 to 1382 of the family's 1533-position model. The record is from RNAcentral. Lineage: Bacteria; Bacillati; Bacillota; Bacilli; Lactobacillales; Streptococcaceae.
AUGUGGUUUAAUUCGAAGCAACGCGAAGAACCUUACCAGGUCUUGACAUCCCGAUGCUAUUUCUAGAGAUAGAAAGUUACUUCGGUACAUCGGUGACAGGUGGUGCAUGGUUGUCGUCAGCUCGUGUCGUGAGAUGUUGGGUUAAGUCCCGCAACGAGCGCAACCCCUAUUGUUAGUUGCCAUCAUUCAGUUGGGCACUCUAGCGAGACUGCCGGUAAUAAACCGGAGGAAGGUGGGGAUGACGUCAAAUCAUCAUGCCCCUUAUGACCUGGGCUACACACGUGCUACAAGGGUUGGUACAACGAGUUGCGAGUCGGUGACGGCGAGCUAAUCUCUUAAAGCCAACCUCAGUUCGGAUUGUAGGCUGCAACUCGCCUACAUGAAGUCGGAGUCGCUAGUAAUCGCGGAUCAGCACGCCGCGGUGAAUACGUUCCCGGGCCUU